Molecule: ribosomal RNA, 301 nt
Filed under: uncultured bacterium
Lineage: Bacteria
Description: partial 16S ribosomal RNA
Rfam family: Bacterial small subunit ribosomal RNA
Source: RNAcentral
CAGUCGCCACGGUAAUACGUAGGGUGCAAGCGUUAAUCGGAAUUACUGGGCGUAAAGCGUGCGCAGGCGGUUAUAUAAGACAGAUGUGAAAUCCCCGGGCUCAACCUGGGAACUGCAUUUGUGACUGUAUAGCUAGAGUACGGCAGAGGGGGAUGGAAUUCCGCGUGUAGCAGUGAAAUGCGUAGAUAUGCGGAGGAACACCGAUGGCGAAGGCAAUCCCCUGGGCCUGUACUGACGCUCAUGCACGAAAGCGUGGGGAGCAAACAGGAUUAGAUACCCGUGUAGUCCCUGUCUCUUAUCU